Molecule: long non-coding RNA, 2547 nt
Organism: Carya illinoinensis
Lineage: Eukaryota; Viridiplantae; Streptophyta; Magnoliopsida; Fagales; Juglandaceae
Exons: 2
Source: RefSeq, a predicted model, not a curated record
UUUCUUCUUCUUUGGUCGAGUAGCAGACCACUACAGUAACGAAGUUUCACACAAAUUUUUCUUCUUCCUUCGGUGCAGCAGACCACACUUUGAAGCAAACGACAUUUUCUAUUUUCCUUCUUUUUCGAUCAAGUAGCAGACCACUGCGGCAACAAAAGUUCACACAUAUUUUUAUUCUUGCUUUGCAAACCACACUUUUCGUUUCUUUCUCAAAGGCAAAAGGAGAAGCAUCAAUAGCAGAGGCCAUUGCCCAUUUUCGUUUCUUUUUCUUCUAUUUUCCUUUGCUCUCCUCAAUCCAAGUUGGUUAGUCUUUCCUCUUCACACCUCAUUUCAUUUCCCUUCUCCUUUUCCUUCCCCUAUGGAGAUAUUCAAAUUGUAAUUAAUGCAUCACUUUUCUGAGUUAUUGGUUCUCAGGUAAUUUCAUCUCCAUCUAAUUGCUCUAAAUCUCGUGUGCUUCCAUUUGAAAUGUGGGUUUUUGCUAGGAUCAUUUUGAAGUUCUUCGAUUAAUUGUUCUUCAAUUUAAGAUGAUUUUAAAAUAAAAAAAAGGGGGCCACGUGGGAUGUGGUGCCCCUGUGGUUCCCCUGGCCAAUUGUAAAUAGACUUUUUCGUGGCCAAUACUUACUUAUAACACAAAAAUUAUCCGUGGGAAAAACAUACGACUUUUUGCAUAGAUCACGUCCGAUGAGGAAGAAGUCGUGGGAAAAGCAUUUUUUCCCACGAAAAAAAUGAUUCAAGAAUUUCGUGUCGCUGCAAAUAACUCAGUCAAAUUAUACUAUUACAGUCUGCACAUGACUAAUUUGUGUUUGCGGUGAGGAAUUAUGAGAUCUUACGGCGAAAAUAAAUCGCUGCAAAAUUGUUUUAAAUAUUUAAGCCCACUUUCCCCCCUUAUUUUUUUCUUCCCUAGCGGCUAGCUCGAUACUCAUUCUCAUUUCUUCGGUUCUCCUUGGGUUUCUCUACUCACAACAGAACGCACCAUCCGCGCCGCCCUUGCUAUAUAAACAUAAGUGAAGAUGAACUGAUGACUGCAACAUAAUAUGCAUGGAAAUCUACCUGCAGUGUACUGAAAUGAAGUAAUUUGCUAUGUUCUAAGCUUUUACAGUUUUACUACCAAUGUCUUUAUGUUGUAUGUAAUGAACACAUUUCAGAGAGUUCAGAUUAUUUAAGAAUGAUGAUAUUUUCCUAUUCUUCCAUUUUCUUCCGGAAUUAUUUGACUCAGAAAUUUCUUUUUCCUCCAAGUAUAUUGAACAUCUGUGCAUGAACAUCUGUUUAUAUCUAAGUUUAUUUUUUCAAACCCACAUGUCUGAACUUGCACGUCUUAGGAUGUUUGCACAUUGUUCCAAUACUUUACAUAUUGCUCCUGUAAUUUGUUUUCAAUUAUUUUGGAAUAAAAAUUAGUGGAGUGGAGACAGUAAGGUUUUCUUAAAUCUAGCUCCUCUGAUUUGUGUUCAAUUAUUGUGUUCAUGUACCCAAGCUAACUGUAGAAGGUUUUGAAAUUUGUCAAGCUACACCAAAACUUUGUGAAGACAAGGUUAAGCAGUGUGUUGAUACCAGACUCAAUGGAGAUUACCCUCCUAAGGCAGUUGCAAAGAUAUUUUGUUUCCCUUGUUUUUAACCUUUGAAGAAGUAGCAUUUGUUUUCUCUAUGCAUUCGAAUAAUAAUGAUAGAUUUCUAUACAGAUCAAGCAAAAAACCUUAGACAUGCAUUCGUUUUUAACCUUAGGCAAUUGUUUUGCUACUCCAUAUGAUUUGAUGAAUUUACUAUAUCUAACAUGUGUUUUCUCUCUCAUUCUUGAGAUAUCCCCAAUAAAUCUUGUAUCAUAUUCGUGAUUUCAUCUGUAUUUCUCCUUGGAUAUUUGCUCGUGAAGUAAUUUUUGGUCAUAGAUCUUUGUUUUUAUUAUUUGCACUUCAUGCUUUGGCUGAUAUCUCUCUUUCCUGAUUUUAUUGUUAGGUUUUUGGUAAUGAAAAAAAAAAGGCUAGGGGAAUUCUAGUUCAAGCACUUGAGCAUGUCCAACUGUCAAAACCAAUUCUUGAGACCUGUACUCUUAGUUUGUGAAAAUAUAUGUGUUGGGGUCAAUCGGUACUUCUCAUGUCAGAGCACUAUACUAAGAGGCAAAGGAAAAUGUAUGUGUUGUUUCAACUCUUUCAUUCACUACAAGACUUGUGAAUCAUUUUCUUUGUAAUAGGUCUGGUCAUCCAACUAAUAGUUAGUAUUGAAAUUUAGAAGGUAUUGGUUACUAACCUAGCAAGAUGGUUGCUGCAGAGCUCAACAUAGUUAAGGUUGCUACUAUCAAUAUGAUACAUGAUGGAAGAACUGGGGUAAAUAGUUAUGGAAAUAGAAAUCUGAAAUAAUUCUUUUUCCACUUGAAUGUUAUCAUUAGUGCUAAAGCACUAAACUCUUUAUUGUUUUCGGCUUCUUAUUAGGAGUUUUUCUUUAAAACAUGUUAGCACAAUUUUAGAUCUUAUUUUGAAAUUGUUAUUAAUGUCAAUUUGAAUCUCCAAGGUUUGUAUAUAUACUUUUUAGCUUUUAUAAGACAAUUGUUAAUGAUCA